Molecule: ribosomal RNA, 387 nt
Filed under: uncultured bacterium
Lineage: Bacteria
Description: bacterial SSU rRNA
Rfam family: Bacterial small subunit ribosomal RNA
Source: RNAcentral
AUUGAACGCUGGCGGCAUGCUUUACACAUGCAAGUCGAACGGCAGCGGGGGCUUCGGCCCGCCGGCGAGUGGCGAACGGGUGAGUAAUGCAUCGGAACGUGCCCAGUCGUGGGGGAUAACACAUCGAAAGAUGUGCUAAUACCGCAUACGUCCUGAGGGAGAAAGCGGGGGAUCUUCGGACCUCGCGCGAUUGGAGCGGCCGAUGUCGGAUUAGCUAGUUGGUGGGGUAAAAGCCCACCAAGGCGACGAUCCGUAGCGGGUCUGAGAGGAUGAUCCGCCACACUGGGACUGAGACACGGCCCAGACUCCUACGGGAGGCAGCAGUGGGGAAUUUUGGACAAUGGGGGGCAACCCUGAUCCAGCCAUGCCGCGUGAGUGAAGAAGGCC